Molecule: ribosomal RNA, 497 nt
Filed under: uncultured bacterium
Lineage: Bacteria
Description: partial 16S ribosomal RNA
Rfam family: Bacterial small subunit ribosomal RNA
Source: RNAcentral
GAUGAACGCUGGCGGCGUGCCUAAUACAUGCAAGUCGAGCGAACAGACGAGGAGCUUGCUCCUCUGACGUUAGCGGCGGACGGGUGAGUAACACGUGGAUAACCUACCUAUAAGACUGGGAUAACUUCGGGAAACCGGAGCUAAUACCGGAUAAUAUAUUGAACCGCAUGGUUCAAUAGUGAAAGACGGUUUUGCUGUCACUUAUAGAUGGAUCCGCGCCGCAUUAGCUAGUUGGUAAGGUAACGGCUUACCAAGGCAACGAUGCGUAGCCGACCUGAGAGGGUGAUCGGCCACACUGGAACUGAGACACGGUUCAGACUCCUACGGGAGGCAGCAGUAGGGAAUCUUCCGCAAUGGGCGAAAGCUUGACGGAGCAACGCCGCGUGAGUGAUGAAGGUCUUCGGAUCGUAAAACUCUGUUAUUAGGGAAGAACAAAUGUGUAAGUAACUAUGCACGUCUUGACGGUACCUAAUCAGAAAGCCACGGCUAACUACGUG